GACGAACGCUGGCGGCGUGCCUAAUACAUGCAAGUCGAGCGAAUGACGAGAAGCUUGCUUCUCUGAUUUAGCGGCGGACGGGUGAGUAACACGUGGGCAACCUGCCCUACAGAUCGGGAUAACUCAGGGAAACCUGGGCUAAUACCGGAUAAUCCUUCGAAUCACAUGUUUUGAAGUUGAAAGGCGCUUCGGCGUCACUGUAGGAUGGGCCCGCGGUGCAUUAGCUAGUUGGGGGGGUAACGGCCUACCAAGGCAACGAUGCAUAGCCGACCUGAGAGGGUGAUCGGCCACAUUGGGACUGAGACACGGCCCAAACUCCUACGGGAGGCAGCAGUAGGGAAUCUUCCACAAUGGACGAAAGUCUGAUGGAGCAACGCCGCGUGAGUGAUGAAGGUUUUCGGAUUGCAAAACUCUGUUGUAAGGGAAGAACAAGUACGUUAGGAAAUGAACGUACCUUGACGGUACCUUAUUAGAAAGCCACGGCUAACUACGUGCCAGCAGCCGCCGUAA
Molecule: ribosomal RNA, 510 nt
Filed under: uncultured bacterium
Lineage: Bacteria
Description: partial 16S ribosomal RNA
Rfam family: Bacterial small subunit ribosomal RNA
Source: RNAcentral